Molecule: long non-coding RNA, 512 nt
Filed under: Drosophila guanche
Lineage: Eukaryota; Metazoa; Arthropoda; Insecta; Diptera; Drosophilidae
Source: RNAcentral
CUGUAGUUGGAGCCGUAAAGCGAGGGAACAUUUCAAAACGAACCUGAAUCUGCAUACCUGAUGAUGAUCUGGAGAGAUUUUCUAAUCAAACUAUGAUCGGUGUAAGUCUCUAAGUCUGUAUAUCGGUUUAACUUGCUAAUUGAAUAUGAAAUAUUUAGAUACUUUUCAAGGAAUUAGCAUCAGAAUUGCCUGGCAUUUAACUUAGGUGAAACCCCCAGUCACAACGCAAACUUAAAUCUUUGAUUCACGCUUUACAAGGGACUGAGCUCUUUAAAAUCAAUUUCUCGACUCAUUUUGCUUUCUCAUGCGCCCCAGCUUCAUGUGGAAAUGCCUUGUCGAGUCGGAUGAAAAAACACUUUCCCCAAAAACAGAACCCAUCAGCAUAAGAGCGUUCCAUCGAAAUGUAAAAAUAUGUGGGACUGACUGGCCUGGCCUGGCCCCAAAUUCUCGAAACGCAUAAAUUGAUAUUCGAAUACUUUCCCCUCCGCUCCGCAAUGAACAGCCAAUACCAG